Molecule: ribosomal RNA, 497 nt
Filed under: uncultured bacterium
Lineage: Bacteria
Description: partial 16S ribosomal RNA
Rfam family: Bacterial small subunit ribosomal RNA
Source: RNAcentral
GAUGAACGCUGGCGGCGUGCCUAAUACAUGCAAGUCGAGCGAACAGAUGAGGAGCUUGCUCCUCUGACGUUAGCGGCGGACGGGUGAGUAACACGUGGAUAACCUACCUAUAAGACUGGGAUAACUUCGGGAAACCGGAGCUAAUACCGGAUAAUAUAUUGAACCGCAUGGUUCAAUAGUGAAAGACGGUUUUGCUGUCACUUAUAGAUGGAUCCGCGCCGCAUUAGCUAGUUGGUAAGGUAACGGCUUACCAAGGCAACGAUGCGUAGCCGACCUGAGAGGGGGGUCGGCCACACUGGAACGGAGACACGGUCCAGACGCCUACGGGAGGCAGCAGUAGGGAAUCGUCCGCAAUGGGCGAAAGCCUGACGGAGCAACGCCGCGUGAGUGAUGAAGGUCUUCGGAUCGUAAAACUCUGUUAUUAGGGAAGAACAAAUGUGUAAGUAACUAUGCACGUCUUGACGGUACCUAAUCAGAAAGCCACGGCUAACUACGUG